RNAcentral lists this ribosomal RNA (253 nucleotides) under uncultured bacterium. Its description in RNAcentral is "partial 16S ribosomal RNA". It matches the Rfam family "Bacterial small subunit ribosomal RNA", at positions 524 to 776 of the family's 1533-position model. The record is from RNAcentral.
UACGUAUGGUGCAAGCGUUAUCCGGAUUUACUGGGUGUAAGGGGAGCGCAGGCGGCACGGCAAGCCUGAUGUGAAAGCCCGCGGCCCAACCGCGGGACUGCAUUGGGAACUACCGGGCUGGAGUGCCGGAGAGGUAGGCGGAAUUCCUAGUGUAGCGGUGAAAUGCGUAGAUAUUAGGAGGAACACCAGUGGCGAAGGCGGCCUACUGGACGGUGACUGACGCUGAGGCUCGAAAGCGUGGGGAGCAAAUAGG